GACGAACGCUGGCGGCGUGCCUAAUACAUGCAAGUCGAACGCUUCUUUCCUCCCGAGUGCUUGCACUCAAUUGGAAAGAGGAGUGGCGGACGGGUGAGUAACACGUGGGUAACCUACCCAUCAGAGGGGGAUAACACUUGGAAACAGGCGCUAAUACCGCAUAACAGUUUAUGCCGCAUGGCAUAAGAGUGAAAGGCGCUUUCGGGUGUCGCUGAUGGAUGGACCCGCGGUGCAUUAGCUAGUUGGUGAGGUAACGGCUCACCAAGGCCACGAUGCAUAGCCGACCUGAGAGGGUGAUCGGCCACACUGGGACUGAGACACGGCCCAGACUCCUACGGGAGGCAGCAGUAGGGAAUCUUCGGCAAAGGACGAAAGUCUGACCGAGCAACGCCGCGUGAGUGAAGAAGGUUUUCGGAUCGUAAAACUCUGUUGUUAGAGAAGAACAAGGACGUUAGUAACUGAACGUCCCCUGACGGUAUCUAACCAGAAAGCCACGGCUAACUACGUG
RNAcentral lists this ribosomal RNA (508 nucleotides) under uncultured bacterium. RNAcentral's name for it is "partial 16S ribosomal RNA". It matches the Rfam family "Bacterial small subunit ribosomal RNA", at positions 28 to 507 of the family's 1533-position model. The record is from RNAcentral.